RNAcentral lists this long non-coding RNA (216 nucleotides) under Lathyrus oleraceus (garden pea). Its description in RNAcentral is "Pisum sativum (pea) long non-coding RNA (PSAT_LNC019854)". The record is from RNAcentral. Lineage: Eukaryota; Viridiplantae; Streptophyta; Magnoliopsida; Fabales; Fabaceae.
UCUUUCAUUAACAAGUUUCAGAACUCCAUCGUAUCUUCUCCAACUUGAAUGAAGCAAGGAAAACAUGGAUUCAAGUUAGCAAUGUUAGUUGUUAUUGUUGUGUCAGAUAAUAUAUUUAAUGUUGUUGUUGUUGUUGUUGUUGUUGAGAUUUAAUAUUUAACGAUUUUAUUGAUUUUUUGUUGUUGUUGUUGUUGUUGUUGUUUUUUCUUGUUGUUG